UACGUAGGGCGCAAGCGUUGUCCGGAAUCAUUGGGCGUAAAGCGCGUGUAGGCGGUCCGGUAAGUCCGCUGUGAAAGUCGGGGGCUCAACCCUCGAAUGCCGGUGGAUACUGUCGGGCUAGAGUGCGGAAGAGGCGAGUGGAAUUCCUGGUGUAGCGGUGAAAUGCGCAGAUAUCAGGAGGAACACCAAUUGCGAAGGCAGCUCGCUGGGACGUAACUGACGCUGAGACGCGAAAGCGUGGGGAGCAAACAGG
Molecule: ribosomal RNA, 253 nt
Filed under: uncultured bacterium
Lineage: Bacteria
Description: partial 16S ribosomal RNA
Rfam family: Bacterial small subunit ribosomal RNA
Source: RNAcentral